GCAGUAUAUAUUCAUCCGUGGGAGGUCAGAACCAACGUUACUGUAUCACUGAGACUUUUGUUGGUUGUUUUUUGUGCUUGCACGAAGAUUUGACAUUUUCAGCAUGAAACAGUCUAAACUGUCUAUUGGAAAGCGCCUUGCAAAACCGAUUCUUUUUGGGACACUGCUCGUAGGUUUGGCCACAGCGUUUCUGAAUAGGCAUUUGUUCAUGGAGGACCUGGCAGAUCUCAGGGAGCAGGAACGAUCCCGCAAUGAGGCCAAAAGGCUGGAGGUGCUGGAGAGGAGGAGGAAACUAAUGGAUCAAAUUAUUGAGAAGAAUAGUGCAGGGGACAGGUGAGAUGACUGAAUGGAAACCUGGAGGAAACCAACACUGAAGAAAACAUGGGACAUUUUUUGCCAAUAAGGAUUUGUGGAGUGUUAUAAAUAUUUUUCCUUGAUUGUUCUGAUAUUGCUGUAAUAGGACAGAAGUUGCAUGGAAAGUCCAUGAAUGAUGUAGUAAGCAAUGAUUUGAAUGGAUUGCCUUGAUCAUAUUUAGCUGUAACAGCUGGAUUUGCAAGAGGAUUAGAAUGGUAAAUAUUAAUGGGCCAAACAUAUGUAUGUGCCUCAUUCCUGCCACUGACAAAAAGCUACUUGGAUUUUAUUGAAAACAUAUAUAAAAAAUACAUAUUUUAUGUAUAAGCCAAACAAAUUAUAAAUAUUACAAAUGAUCUUCACCAGUUAAAAGCCUAAAAUAUAAAUCUGCUGAGUUUUAAAAUAUUUUGUGUACCAUUCAAACCCUUUAUUAAUACAUUUAUGAAAUUAUGAAUAAAAAAUUGUUACACUGUGCAGUUGGCAUCAGUGUUGUUAUUGUUAAUUGAAAAUUUGAAAUGUUGACAAUUUAAAUACUAAAAAUGAAAUGAAAUUGCUUUUAAAUAAAUUAAAGCCAAAUAGUAGUAAGAAGAAGCUAAUCAAAAUAUUAUAAAAUACUAAAACUUAAAAUUAAAAAGGAAACUGAAUCUAUAAAAAUAUUUUGAAAUAUUAAUAAAUACUAAAAAUACACUGGCUGGCAUAAAAGCCUUUUUCUGAAGUCCUUCUAAUUGUAAGAUUUUUCAGUGGUAACACCAUAGAGUUAACAUUUUUGUGUUUGAUACAAUAACACAGACUCGUGAGAACACUACCAUUUAUUUGAGCACGCGAAAGUAACAAAAAGUGCUUUUGGAACACAUUGCACUAACCAAAAUUAAUAAGAUUUGUAAUUCACAGCAAGGAGAAAAAUAAGGUAUGGAUAUUCCAACAAAUACUAUAAGGCUGGUAAACCAGCCUGAGACUCAGUAGCAAAUGUGUCAUACAGUAUUACUACAGCAGUUGAUUGUCAAUAUAACCAAACCAGUGUUUAAAAUGCAAACCUGCUGGAGCCCAAACAAACCUUUCAUGUGCAACUCCAAAUACGUUUCACACUUGGCCACAUUUCAGGGGAAGUUUACCCAUCUGAGGCACACACUAGCACUUACCCAAAUAAAAUGACCUUGUGAACAAAUACAAAAAAUUGGGGAUAAAAAUGGAAACCAGUUUCCAUGACAUAUAAGUGCACAUGUAAGUCUAGAUAGUCAAAUCUCCUCCCUUCAUCUUCUUUUUUCCUUCAAUAUACCAUAUAUCAUAUAGACAAUAUCGGGUCUACCUUCUCAUACACCAACACUGCAUGUGUUGCACAACAUAUAUUAAUAACAUAAAUUCCCUUUGUUUUUAGCUUUCACAUACAUUGCCAUCCAACACUAUAUCAAUAAAUACAUUUUUGGACUGUGGUAAAAGACAAAACAUUUGCAAAGAACAGAGAAAACUAAAUUAAAUAU
This is a long non-coding RNA of Onychostoma macrolepis, 1829 nucleotides long. RefSeq lists it as uncharacterized. The transcript has 2 exons. Lineage: Eukaryota; Metazoa; Chordata; Actinopteri; Cypriniformes; Cyprinidae. The record is from RefSeq and is a predicted model, not a curated record.